This 944-nucleotide ribosomal RNA is filed under the name uncultured Bacillota bacterium. Its description in RNAcentral is "bacterial SSU rRNA". It matches the Rfam family "Bacterial small subunit ribosomal RNA", at positions 1 to 916 of the family's 1533-position model. The record is from RNAcentral. Lineage: Bacteria; Bacillati; Bacillota.
GGAUCCAGACUUUGAUCCUGGCUCAGGACGAACGCUGGCGGCGUGCUUAACACAUGCAAGUCGAACGAGAAGAGAUGAGAAGCUUGCUUCUUAUCGAUUCGAGUGGCAAACGGGUGAGUAACGCGUAAGCAACCUGCCCUCUAGAUGGGGACAACAGCUGGAAACGGCUGCUAAUACCGAAUACGUUCCUUCUGUCGCAUGGCAGAGGGAAGAAAGGGAGGCUCUUCGGAGCUUUCGCUGGAGGAGGGGCUUGCGUCUGAUUAGCUAGUUGGAGGGGUAACGGCCCACCAAGGCGACGAUCAGUAGCCGGUCUGAGAGGAUGAACGGCCACAUUGGGACUGAGACACGGCCCAGACUCCUACGGGAGGCAGCAGUGGGGAAUCUUCCGCAAUGGACGAAAGUCUGACGGAGCAACGCCGCGUGAACGAUGACGGCCUUCGGGUUGUAAAGUUCUGUUAUACGGGACGAAUGGUACGACGGUCAAUACCCGUCGUAAGUGACGGUACCGUAAGAGAAAGCCACGGCUAACUACGUGCCAGCAGCCGCGGUAAUACGUAGGUGGCAAGCGUUGUCCGGAAUUAUUGGGCGUAAAGGGCGCGCAGGCGGCGUCGUAAGUCGGUCUUAAAAGUGCGGGGCUUAACCCCGUGAGGGGACCGAAACUGCGAUGCUAGAGUAUCGGAGAGGAAAGCGGAAUUCCUAGUGUAGCGGUGAAAUGCGUAGAUAUUAGGAGGAACACCAGUGGCGAAAGCGGCUUUCUGGACGACAACUGACGCUGAGGCGCGAAAGCCAGGGGAGCAAACGGGAUUAGAUACCCCGGUAGUCCUGGCCGUAAACGAUGGAUACUAGGUGUAAGAGGUAUCGACCCCUUCUGUGCCGGAGUUAACGCAAUAAGUAUCCCGCCUGGGGAGUACGGCCGCAAGGCUGCAACUCAAAGGAAUUGACGG